AUUGAACGCUGGCGGCAGGCCUAACACAUGCAAGUCGAGCGGAUGAAGGGAGCUUGCUCCUGGAUUCAGCGGCGGACGGGUGAGUAAUGCCUAGGAAUCUGCCUGGUAGUGGUUGAUAACGUCCGGAAACGGGCGCUAAUACCGCAUACUUCCUGAGGGAGAAAGUGGGGGAUCUUCGGACCUCACGCUAUCAGAUGAGCCUAGGUCGGAUUAGCUAGUUGGUGGGGUAAAGGCCUACCAAGGCGACGAUCCGUAACUGGUCUGAGAGGAUGAUCAGUCACACUGGAACUGAGACACGGUCCAGACUCCUACGGGAGGCAGCAGUGGGGAAUAUUGGACAAUGGGCGAAAGCCUGAUCCAGCCAUGCCGCGUGUGUGAAGAAGGUCUUCGGAUUGUAAAGCACUUUAAGUUGGGAGGAAGGGCAGUAAGUUAAUACCUUGCUGUUUUGACGUUACCAACAGAAUAAGCACCGGCUAACUUCGUG
Molecule: ribosomal RNA, 484 nt
Filed under: uncultured bacterium
Lineage: Bacteria
Description: partial 16S ribosomal RNA
Rfam family: Bacterial small subunit ribosomal RNA
Source: RNAcentral